CCGAGUUUACAACUCCCAAACCCCUGUGAACAUACCUUAAUGUUGCCUCGGCGGAUCAGCCCGCGCCCCGUAAAACGGGACGGCCCGCCAGAGGACCCAAACUCUAAUGUCUUUAGUGGUUUUCUCCUCUGAGUGACACAUAAACAAAUAAAUAA
This 155-nucleotide unclassified non-coding RNA is filed under the name uncultured Fusarium. RNAcentral describes it as "sequence contains ITS1". Lineage: Eukaryota; Fungi; Ascomycota; Sordariomycetes; Hypocreales; Nectriaceae. The record is from RNAcentral.